RNAcentral lists this ribosomal RNA (367 nucleotides) under uncultured bacterium. RNAcentral describes it as "bacterial SSU rRNA". It matches the Rfam family "Bacterial small subunit ribosomal RNA", at positions 28 to 402 of the family's 1533-position model. The record is from RNAcentral.
GACGAACGCUGGCGGCGUGCUUAACACAUGCAAGUCGAGCGGUAAGGCCUUUCGGGGUACACGAGCGGCGAACGGGUGAGUAACACGUGGGUGACCUGCCUUUAGCUUCGGGAUAAGCCUGGGAAACCGGGUCUAAUACCGGAUAUGACCUCAUGUCGCAUGGUGUGGGGUGGAAAGUUCUUCGUCUAGAGAUGGGCCCGCGGCCUAUCAGCUUGUUGGUGGGGUGAUGGCCUACCAAGGCGACGACGGGUAGCCGGCCUGAGAGGCGACCGGCCACACUGGGACUGAGAUACGGCCCAGACUCCUACGGGAGGCAGCAGUGGGAAUAUUGCGCAAUGGGCGGAAGCCUGACGCAGCGACGCCGCGU